GGGUUGUGAGGUUAAGCGACCAAGCGUACACGGUGGAUGCCCUGGCAGUCAGAGGCGAUGAAGGACGUGCUAAUCUGCGAAAAGCGCCGGUAAGGUGAUAUGAACCGUUAUAACCGGCGAUGUCCGAAUGGGGAAACCCAGUGUGACUCGUCACACUAUCAUUAACUGAAUCCAUAGGUUAAUGAGGCGAACCGGGGGAACUGAAACAUCUAAGUACCCCGAGGAAAAGAAAUCAACCGAGAUUCCCCCAGUAGCGGCGAGCGAACGGGGAGGAGCCCAGAGCCUGAAUCAGCAUGUGUGUUAGUGGAAGCGUCUGGAAAGGCGCGCGAUACAGGGUGAGAGCCCCGUACACAAAAGCGCAUAUGCUGUGAGCUCGAUGAGUAGGGCGGGACACGUGGUAUCCUGUCUGAAUAUGGGGGGACCAUCCUCCAAGGCUAAAUACUCCUGACUGACCGAUAGUGAACCAGUACCGUGAGGGAAAGGCGAAAAGAACCCCGGCGAGGGGAGUGAAACAGAACCUGAAACCGUGUACGUACAAGCAGUGGGAGCCUCUCUUUAUGGGGGGUGACUGCGUACCUUUUGUAUAAUGGGUCAGCGACUUAUAUUCUGUAGCAAGGUUAACCGCAUAGGGGAGCCGAAGGGAAACCGAGUCUUAAUUGGGCGUUAAGUUGCAGGGUAUAGACCCGAA
Molecule: ribosomal RNA, 688 nt
Filed under: Salmonella enterica subsp. enterica
Lineage: Bacteria; Pseudomonadati; Pseudomonadota; Gammaproteobacteria; Enterobacterales; Enterobacteriaceae
Description: bacterial LSU rRNA
Rfam family: Bacterial large subunit ribosomal RNA
Source: RNAcentral